GACGAACGCUGGCGGCGUGCCUAAUACAUGCAAGUAGAACGCACAGUUUAUACCGUAGCUUGCUACACCAUAGACUGUGAGUUGCGAACGGGUGAGUAACGCGUAGGUAACCUGCCUGGUAGCGGGGGAUAACUAUUGGAAACGAUAGCUAAUACCGCAUGAUAUUAAUUAUUGCAUGAUAAUUAAUUGAAAGGUGCAAUUGCACCACUACCAGAUGGACCUGCGUUGUAUUAGCUAGUAGGUGAGGUAACGGCUCACCUAGGCGACGAUACAUAGCCGACCUGAGAGGGUGAUCGGCCACACUGGGACUGAGACACGGCCCAGACUCCUACGGGAGGCAGCAGUAGGGAAUCUUCGGCAAUGGACGAAAGUCUGACCGAGCAACGCCGCGUGAGUGAAGAAGGUUUUCGGAUCGUAAAGCUCUGUUGUAAGAGAAGAACGGGUGUGAGAGUGGAAAGUUCACACUGUGACGGUAUCUUACCAGAAAGGGACGGCUAACUACGUG
This 505-nucleotide ribosomal RNA is filed under the name uncultured bacterium. Its description in RNAcentral is "partial 16S ribosomal RNA". It matches the Rfam family "Bacterial small subunit ribosomal RNA", at positions 28 to 507 of the family's 1533-position model. The record is from RNAcentral.